UACGUAGGGUGCGAGCGUUGUCCGGAAUUAUUGGGCGUAAAGAGCUCGUAGGCGGUGUGUCACGUCGGCCGUGAAAACCUGGGGCUUAACUCUGGGCGUGCGGUCGAUACGGGCAUCACUAGAGUUCGGCAGGGGAGACUGGAAUUUCGUGUGUAGGGGUGAAAUCCGUAAAUAUACGAAGGAACGCCAAAAGCGAAGGCAGCUCUCUGGGUCCCUACCGACGCUGGGGUGCGAAAGCAUGGGGAGCGAACAGG
RNAcentral lists this ribosomal RNA (254 nucleotides) under uncultured bacterium. Its description in RNAcentral is "partial 16S ribosomal RNA". It matches the Rfam family "Bacterial small subunit ribosomal RNA", at positions 524 to 776 of the family's 1533-position model. The record is from RNAcentral.